GCCCUCCACCAAGUGGUUAUUACUAUCCACCACCACCACCAUCAUCUGCUUCGGUAUAUUACCCUCCACCAACUGGGUAUUUCCCUUAUUAUCCUCCCCCUUACGUCAACCGCUAUUCUCCUCCCCCUCCUGAUCCAAUCUUGCCUUACUUUCCGUUUUACUUCAAAAAAACUCCACCCUCAUCGAAUCUCUCCUCGGCAUCUUCUCUCAAGGGGUCUCUGGCUGGAUUGUUUCUGAACUUAAUUUUGUUGGGUUCGUUUGGUUUCUUUAAUUUGUUAUAGUUUGAUCAUGCAUAUGAGGGUGAUUUGGGGAUUAGAAGCUGUAGAAGCAGGGGAGAGCAGAAAUUAAUUGGGAUGACCUCUGUUCCAUCUUGAAUGAAAUUUUGUAACAGUUUGGAUUCAUCAUUCACUCA
This is a long non-coding RNA of Telopea speciosissima, 412 nucleotides long. RefSeq lists it as uncharacterized. The transcript is spliced from 3 exons. The record is from RefSeq and is a predicted model, not a curated record. NCBI's taxonomy places the organism in Eukaryota, Viridiplantae, Streptophyta, Magnoliopsida, Proteales, Proteaceae.